Molecule: ribosomal RNA, 372 nt
Filed under: uncultured organism
Description: bacterial SSU rRNA
Rfam family: Bacterial small subunit ribosomal RNA
Source: RNAcentral
CGGGGGGGGCAAGCGUUGUUCGGAAUUACUGGGCGUAAAGGGCUCGUAGGCGGCCAACUAAGUCCGACGUGAAAUCCCCAGGCUUAACCUGGGAACUGCGUCGGAUACUGGAUGGCUUGAAUUCGGGAGAGGGAUGCAGAAUUCCAGGUGUAGCGGUGAAAUGCGUAGAUAUCUGGAGGAAUACCGGUGGCGAAGGCGGCAUCCUGGACCGACAUUGACGCUGAGGAGCGAAAGCUAGGGGAGCAAACGGGAUUAGAUACCCCGGUAGUCCUAGCCCUAAACGAUGAAUGCUUGGUGUGGCGGGUAUCGAUCCCUGCCGUGCCGAAGCUAACGCAUUAAGCAUUCCGCCUGGGGAGUACGGUCGCAAGGCUG